Molecule: unclassified non-coding RNA, 703 nt
Filed under: Hevea brasiliensis (rubber tree)
Lineage: Eukaryota; Viridiplantae; Streptophyta; Magnoliopsida; Malpighiales; Euphorbiaceae
Source: RNAcentral
CUAAUUUGACACAAAUCUCUAUAUUGUCUAGUAAAUAAAGAGUAAAACCCUUGGAUUUUUUAUUAAAUAAAUUAUAAAGAUUUUUAAAAAUUCCCCAUCUAUUAAAUUCUCUAAUUCUUCUUACAGGCACGUUUUUGUUGAGUAUCUUACUCGUAAUAAAAGAAGUAUAGGACUAUAAACUUCUUUUAUUCCAAUAAUGGCAUUCAAUUCCAUAAAUUUAGUCUACAUCCCAACCAAGGUGGAUUGUUCAAAUCUACAGAAAAAUAAAAAAUAAAAAUUGAAGUUCUUAAAUUCAUGAAUUUCCAAAUUCAAUGCAAACAUACCCUAAAAUAAUGAUAUUUUGGUCAUUAGAAAUGACACUUCAAAUCUAUAUAUACCCUUGUAGUUGUACAGCUAUAAUCUGCAUUAAUAAUAAGAAUGCUAUUUAUGAUAUCAGCAACUUGGCAUUAGACCACUGCCAAGUCAAAUUUGAUCCUAGAUAAUCUGUCCUACCGAGCCUAUGUAUAACAUUUUAACUAGAACUUACAGGUGAAUAUUGCUGAAAAAUGAUGCAGAACAGAGAGACUCUUGGAGCAGAAGACUUCAUUGAUCACUUCCUUUUGAAAAACAGACUUCAGAAACCCCACAUAGAAAUGAAGAAUCCCAAUAUUUAAUACAAUGCUCAAUUUAAUCUUGAGCUUUCACCGGCACGUUUUAUUUGCAA